AAUGAAGUGCCCGAAUUUUAAGGAUUAUUUUGAUGUAAUAAAAAAUGUUUUUUUAAACCUUCAUUU
This 66-nucleotide transfer RNA is filed under the name Fopius arisanus. Its description in RNAcentral is "tRNA-Ile". Lineage: Eukaryota; Metazoa; Arthropoda; Insecta; Hymenoptera; Braconidae. The record is from RNAcentral.